GACGAACGCUGGCGGCGUGCUUAACACAUGCAAGUCGAACGGAAAGGCCCUGCUUUUGUGGGGUGCUCGAGUGGCGAACGGGUGAGUAACACGUGAGUAACCUGCCCUUGACUUUGGGAUAACUUCAGGAAACUGGGGCUAAUACCGGAUAGGAGCUCCUGCUGCAUGGUGGGGGUUGGAAAGUUUCGGCGGUUGGGGAUGGACUCGCGGCUUAUCAGCUUGUUGGUGGGGUAGUGGCUUACCAAGGCUUUGACGGGUAGCCGGCCUGAGAGGGUGACCGGCCACAUUGGGACUGAGAGACGGCCCAGACUCCUACGGGAGGCAGCAGUGGGGAAUAUUGCACAAUGGGCGGAAGCCUGAUGCAGCAACGCCGCGUGCGGGAUGACGGCCUUCGGGUUGUAAACCGCUUUCGCCGGUAACGAAGCGUGAGUGACGGUAAUGGGUAAAGAAGCACCGGCUAACUACGUG
Molecule: ribosomal RNA, 468 nt
Filed under: uncultured bacterium
Lineage: Bacteria
Description: partial 16S ribosomal RNA
Rfam family: Bacterial small subunit ribosomal RNA
Source: RNAcentral